Molecule: long non-coding RNA, 886 nt
Filed under: Mus musculus (house mouse)
Lineage: Eukaryota; Metazoa; Chordata; Mammalia; Rodentia; Muridae
Description: long non-coding RNA chr11:3476358-3477244
Source: RNAcentral
ACAUGCUCACAAUAUGAUGUGCUGUUCCCACUACAGGCUCAAAGUAGCAUCGCCAACGGACUGAGACCAUGAGCCAAAAUAAAGCUUCCCUCCUGUUAAGUGUCUAAAGCAUUUUGUCAGUAGCAGGAAGCUGAUAGAACAGGGACACAUAUGCAAGCAUUUCAACACUGGAAUAUACCACAGGCAUUUAGUCAAGGCACGUGACCAUUCCAAGGCUUUCCAGCGACAGGAGUGGGAUUAGGAAUUGAGGCUUUAGUAGAGUCCUUUAGCAGGCAGGCACCUUCUGGGGAAGUGGAGAGAGCUCACAUUCUACAGCGCUGGAAACUGGGCAUCCAGUCAGGCCCACAGCCACACUUCCUUGCUCUUGCCCUCAAGUCUCCAGCUUAAAUGAAGAUGUCUUUUUUUGUUGUUGUUGUUUUUCUUUUUUUUUUUUUUGUUUUUUUUGUUUUUUUUUCGAGACAGGGUUUCUCUGUAUAGCCCUGGCUGUCCUGGAACUCACUCUGUAGACCAGGCUGGCCUUGAACUCAGAAAUCUGCCUGCCUCUGCCUCCCAAGUGCUGGGAUUAAAGGCGUAUGCCACCACGGCCGGCUAAAGGAAGAUCUUAUUUGCCGAAUUCUCCAUGAUACCAAGUGAGCUUUACAUUCCCCCACAUCGAUCCUCAACUCUUGGGCACUGUUAUUAUCUCUCUGUUAUUAACAGAGACAGGAAGACUUAGGAAAAAAAUCUGAAUUCAGGUCAGCAAGAGAGCUCAGCAAAUAGAGGCGGAUAAGCCUGACAACCUGAGUUGGAUCCCAGAAUCCACAGGCUCUCUCAGGUUGUUCUCUGAACUACACAUGUGUGUGUCAUGGUGUGCUUAUGUGCUUCUGCCUAUACACAUACACAUUCU